CAUCAAUAUUGCAACAAUGUUUACAUUGAUUUUUUGUAUUUUAUUGCUUCUUGUUUUUCAUGUUAUAUACACAAUACGGAAAUGCAUUGUUUUGUCAGCAUUUUUGUUUCGAUUUUCUACAUAGCUAUUAAUGGCCACAAUAG
Molecule: long non-coding RNA, 143 nt
Organism: Photinus pyralis (common eastern firefly)
Lineage: Eukaryota; Metazoa; Arthropoda; Insecta; Coleoptera; Lampyridae
Exons: 5
Source: RefSeq, a predicted model, not a curated record